Long non-coding RNA from Lepus europaeus (European hare), 2834 nucleotides. RefSeq lists it as uncharacterized. NCBI's taxonomy places the organism in Eukaryota, Metazoa, Chordata, Mammalia, Lagomorpha, Leporidae. The record is from RefSeq and is a predicted model, not a curated record. The transcript is spliced from 2 exons.
CUUUUCUGGAAGUUUUUUCUGCAAGCAGUGAUAAUUGUGAAAGUGUUGUGACUUCAAGGAGAUGGAUAGGUGGGAUGAAGUAGAGGUUUCUGACAACUCCUUUUUUUUUUUUUUUUUUUUAAUUUUUGACAGGCAGAGUGGACAGUGAGAGAGACAGAGAGAAAGGUCUUCCUUUGCCGUUGGUUCACCCUCCAAUGGCCGCCGCGGCUGGCGCGCUGUGGCCGGUGCACCGCGCUGAUCCGAAGCCAGGUGCCAGGUGCUUCUCCUGGUCUCCCAUGGGGUGCAGUGCCCAAGCACCUGGGCCAUCCUCCACUGCACUCCCGGGCCAUAGCAGAGAGCUGGCCCGGAAGAGGGGCAACCAGGACAGAAUCCGGUGCCCCGACCAGGACUAGAACCGGUGUGCCGGUGCCACAAGGCGGAGGAUUAGCCUGUUGAGCCACGGUGCCGGCCCUGACAACUCUUGAGAGCAUUGGACAGGCUGUGGACAGGAGCUGCUCAGUUCCUGAAGCAUUGUAAGCUGAAGCUGGACAUCGUGGGGUAAAUUCCAAAGAAGUCUCAUGCCUGCUGUGUGGGCCACAGUGUCCUGCCGAGCCACCCAGUGCCACAAAACACUGGAAUCGCACACCAGGAUGGACAGCUUUCCCAGGACACUGCCAGGAGGCUGGACUCCAACUUCUUAGCUGUUCCUUGGGUAUGACUACCUUUUCCAUUGGCAGGAGAAUCCCACCACCAGUCGUUCUUGCAGGCUAACGAAAUGUUGGCUGCUCUGGCCAGACCCGUCUUUACGUGGCCUAAGAGGGUCUUUGGCUCACCUGGUGGGAAGCUUUGUUUGUGAAGACAUGCAGACCACUUGCUUUCACUCCCUACCCUACCCUAAGCUAGCUCUAGGUGGCUGAGCAGGGAGAAGACUGGGCCGUGGCUGAUGCUUGUCACAGCUGGGUGAAUAGGGUGGGCCUUGUAGAGGCUCAUUGCAAGCAUCAGUGGACAGGCUGCCUGGUUAGAGCAGGUGGACUUCACGUCUGGCUCGUGGGUGCCCUGGCUAUGAAGCACACUCCAAAGUCUGUCGUCUCCCUGGUACAGUGUAUUCUCAAGCCUACAGUUGUCCAUCAAAUGUCUGAGGGCCUCUCAUCAUCUGGGACAGAAACAAACCGUGUGAUGACAAGGGUGCUUGACCGAGGGAGGACACCCAGAAUGAUGGCACCUGCUGUGCUAAUGCCCUUACGUUUUGGUCACAUCUCACCUGGGCAAGAGCCUGACCAAAAGGGGGGAACUUUUAAACAUUACGGGAGUGGGGAGAGGGGGGCCUUGCUUUGGACUAAGCUACUGCACUCGGCCUAACCAGAGUGAAAUUGCUCGUGCUAAAUGCAGCAGAUCCCAGAGCAUGCUUCUUCUGAAAACAGGAGACUGCAGUCAGUCUGGGUCAGCAUAAGGAAGUCCUCGCUUCUGCACCUGAGGCUGACCAGAACCUGUUUCCUGCUGUUUGUCCUGCUGCCACCCACUGGGAACUGACAGAGUAGGCUGGUGAGUUCCAUACCAAUGCCAGUGAAGUCCUGUUACGCUGUGAGGUUGCCUGAGAGGGAGCGACUGCUGCGUCUGGUAUCCUGAGGCAGCCCUACCCGGAUGUUAAGCAGAGUGUAACCUAUUCUUGAAGCAUGUAGACAGUAAGGCAGGCUCAUGCCCAGCCUCACCUGUUUUUGCAACCUCCCCAUGUGGUGGAGCAGGACACCCUGACGUAUUUUUAAAUUUAUUUAUUUGAAAGUCAGAAUUAGAGGGGAGAGAGAGGGAGAGGAAGGGAGGUCCUUUUGCUGGUUCACUCCCCAGUUGGCCCCAACAGCCGGAGCUGCACUGAUCCAAAGCCAGGAGCCAGGAGCUUCUUCCGGGUCUCCCAUGUGAGUGCAGGGGCCCAAGGACUUGCCUUCCCAGACCAUAACAGAGAGCUGGAUAGGAAGUGGACUUGAACCGGCACCCAUAAGGGAUGGUGGCACUGCAGGCAGUGGCUUUACCCACUGUGCCGCAGCGCCGGCCCCCCACCUCCUGAAGUAUUUUUGGUCCAGAUUGGGUGUUUCUAGAUUCAAAAAUAAAGCCAACUGAGAUCUGCAGAACAAGGCUGGUUGUAAUUUUAUUAAAGAUUUAUUUAUUUAUUUGAAAGGUAGAGUUAGAGAGGCACAGAGAGAGGUCUUCCAUCCACUCGCUGGUUCACUCCCUAAUGUCUGCAAUGGCUGCAGCGGGGCCAAUCUGGAGCCAGGAGCCUGGAGCUUCUUUGGGGUCUCCCACAUGGGUGCAGGGGCCCAAGCACUUGGGCCAUCUUCUACUGCCUUCCCAGGCCAUAGCAGAGAGCUGGAUCAGAAGAGGAGCAGCCAGGACUCAAACCAGCACCCAUAUAAGAUGCUGGCACUGCAGGCAGCAGCUUUACCUGCUAUGCCACAGCGCCAGCCCCCCUGUAAUUUUACUUUUUACUUACUGGGAACUGCCCUGUGCAAGCCACCUGCAAGUACAGCAAUCCCAGAGCUCAUGCCGUUGUACCCACGUGUCAGAGGGAGCAAAGAUGCCAUGGGGAAGGGGAGAGGAAGACAGCCUUGUGAGGCACCAGGAGUCCUGGGCAGCGUCUGGGAAAACUGCACCCUCGGGCUCAGCCUGAGGAGCCAGGGGAGGGGCUGUGUGCUGCCUGCUCACCAGGCAGCGGCUCCUGGAACUGCUGAAGUCCGCUCUCUCUGCACCUCCCGCACCCAGGGCUGAGUCCGUGUCCUCAGUGGGCAGGUGGGCUGGUUUCUCAAAAACUUUGGGGCCUCAUCUGGAUUCUGUGCUUGUGUAAAAGAAAACACCCAAUAAUACAA